This is a long non-coding RNA of Saimiri boliviensis boliviensis (Bolivian squirrel monkey), 1495 nucleotides long. RefSeq lists it as uncharacterized. NCBI's taxonomy places the organism in Eukaryota, Metazoa, Chordata, Mammalia, Primates, Cebidae. The record is from RefSeq and is a predicted model, not a curated record.
AGAAUGGGUAUCUCAGGCUGUUAGUAAUUUGAUAUAGAACUUUUCACCUCCGGGUCAGUGGGAAGACAGUAGAGGCCAGGAAAGGGCAAGAAGCCCUUAUUUCCCAUAAGGGCUUCUUGUCACCAGCACUAUGGUUGAAGUCCCCUAACAGCACAGAGCAGCUGGUCACUGCUUGGCCCAGGCAUUCCCGUGCCUUCCUGCUACACUUGCGUAUCAAGAAGCAUUUCAGACCACAGGAAUGCAGGAUUGCAAGGGGCCAAUUUACCUUGAAUUUGAAAAGAUGAUGGCAAUGAUGUUAGACAAAAAUCAAAUUCUAGUGAUUUUCUUAUUUGAGUUCAAAAUGGGUUGUAAAGCAGCGGAGACAACUGGCAAAAGCAACAAAGCAUUUGGUGCAGGAACUGCUAAUGAAUAUGCAGUGCAGUGGUGGUUCAAGAAGUUUUGCAAAAGAGAGGAGAGCUUUGAAGAUGAGGAACGUUGUGGCCGGCUAUCAGAAGUUGACAAUGAUCAAUUGAGAGCAACCAUGAAAGCUGAUCCUCUUACAACUACAUGAGAUGUUGCCAAGGAACUAAAUGUUGACCAUUCUAUAGUUGUGUGUCAUUUGAAGCCAACUGGAAAGUUGAAAAAGCUUGGUCAGUGGAUUCCUCAUGAGCCAAGUGAAAUUUUGUUUAAAAUGUCAUUUUGAAGUGUCAUCUUCUCUUAUUCUAUGCAACAAAAACAAAUCAUUUUUCAAUCAGAUUGUUACAUGCAAUGCAAAGUGGAUUUUAUAUGAUGACCAGUGAUGACUGGCUCAGUGGCUAGACCAAGAAGCUCCAAAGCACUUCCAGAAGCCAAACUUACACCAAAAAAAAUGGUCAUGGUCACCGUUUGGUAGUCUGCUGCUGUUAUGAUACACUAGUGCUUUCUGAAUCCUGGCAAAACCAUUACAUUUGAGAAGUAUGCUCAGCAAAUCAAUGAGAUACACUGAAAACUUCAACAACUGCACUCAGCAUUGGUCAACAGAAAGGGCACAAUUCUUCUCAACAACGCAUGACCACAUGUCACACAACCAAUGCUUCAAAAGUUGAACGAAUUGUGCUCUGAAGUUUUGCCUCAUCCACCAUAUUCACCUACCUCUUACCAACCGACUACCACUUCUUCAAGCAUCUCCACAACUUUUUGCAAGGAAAACAUUUCCACAACCAGAAUGCAGAAAGUGCUUUCCAAGAGCUCACUGAGUCCUGAAGCACGGAUUUAUAUGCUGCAGGAAUAAACGAACUUAUUUUUCAUUGGCAAAAAUUUGUUAUUGUAAUGGUUCCUAUUUUGAUUAAUAAAGAUGUGCCUGAACCUAGUUAUAAUGAUUUCAAAUUCACAAUCAGAAACUGCAAUUACUUUUGCACCACCCUAAUAUGAGGAAGUAAUAGUUGAACAGAAUAGUUCUUUCUUGGCAGUCGGGCAUUUUGCCUGGGGAGAAAGAUCAUUAAAAAUGUAAACAUUUCAAUAAAACUAUUUAAACAAA